This 643-nucleotide ribosomal RNA is filed under the name uncultured Actinomycetes bacterium. RNAcentral's name for it is "bacterial SSU rRNA". It matches the Rfam family "Bacterial small subunit ribosomal RNA", at positions 232 to 885 of the family's 1533-position model. The record is from RNAcentral. Lineage: Bacteria; Bacillati; Actinomycetota; Actinomycetes.
CGCGGCCUAUCAGCUUGUUGGUGGGGUAAUGGCCUACCAAGGCGACGACGGGUAGCCGGCCUGAGAGGGCGACCGGCCACACUGGGACUGAGACACGGCCCAGACUCCUACGGGAGGCAGCAGUGGGGAAUAUUGCACAAUGGGCGAAAGCCUGAUGCAGCGACGCCGCGUGAGGGAUGACGGCCUUCGGGUUGUAAACCUCUUUUAGCAGGGAAGAAGCGAGAGUGACGGUACCUGCAGAAAAAGCGCCGGCUAACUACGUGCCAGCAGCCGCGGUAAUACGUAGGGCGCAAGCGUUAUCCGGAAUUAUUGGGCGUAAAGAGCUCGUAGGCGGUUUGUCGCGUCUGCUGUGAAAUCCCGAGGCUCAACCUCGGGCCUGCAGUGGGUACGGGCAGACUAGAGUGCGGUAGGGGAGAUCGGAAUUCCUGGUGUAGCGGUGAAAUGCGCAGAUAUCAGGAGGAACACCGGUGGCGAAGGCGGAUCUCUGGGCCAUUGCUGACGCUGAGGAGCGAAAGCGUGGGGAGCGAACAGGAUUAGAUACCCUGGUAGUCCACGCCGUAAACGUUGGGAACUAGGUGUUGGCGACAUUCCACGUCGUCGGUGCCGCAGCUAACGCAUUUAGUUCCCCGCCUGGGGAGUACGG